This 253-nucleotide ribosomal RNA is filed under the name uncultured bacterium. Its description in RNAcentral is "partial 16S ribosomal RNA". It matches the Rfam family "Bacterial small subunit ribosomal RNA", at positions 524 to 776 of the family's 1533-position model. The record is from RNAcentral.
UACGGAGGGGGCGAGCGUUAUUCGGAAUUAUUGGGCGUAAAGGGCGCGUAGGCGGCCCGGUAAGUCAAAGGUGAAAUCCCUCGGCUCAACUGAGGAACUGCCUUUGAAACUGUCGGGCUUGAGGCCGGGAGGGGGUAGCGGAAUUCCCAGUGUAGCGGUGAAAUGCGUAGAUACUGGGAGGAACACCAGUGGCGAAGGCGGCUACCUGGACCGGUUCUGACGCUGAUGCGCGAAAGCGUGGGUAGCAAACAGG